GAUGAACGCUGGCGGCGUGCCUAAUACAUGCAAGUCGUGCGAACAGAUGAGGAGCUUGCUCCUCUGACGUUAGCGGCGGACGGGUGAGUAACACGUGGAUAACCUACCUAUAAGACUGGGAUAACUUCGGGAAACCGGAGCUAAUACCGGAUAAUAUAUUGAACCGCAUGGUUCAAUAGUGAAAGACGGUUUUGCUGUCACUUAUAGAUGGAUCCGCGCCGCAUUAGCUAGUUGGUAAGGUAACGGCUUACCAAGGCAACGAUGCGUAGCCGACCUGAGAGGGUGAUCGGCCACACUGGAACUGAGACACGGUCCAGACUCCUACGGGAGGCAGCAGUAGGGAAUCUUCCGCAAUGGGCGAAAGCCUGACGGAGCAACGCCGCGUGAGUGAUGAAGGUCUUCGGAUCGUAAAACUCUGUUAUUAGGGAAGAACAAAUGUGUAAGUAACUAUGCACGUCUUGACGGUACCUAAUCAGAAAGCCACGGCUAACUACGU
This 496-nucleotide ribosomal RNA is filed under the name uncultured bacterium. Its description in RNAcentral is "partial 16S ribosomal RNA". It matches the Rfam family "Bacterial small subunit ribosomal RNA", at positions 28 to 506 of the family's 1533-position model. The record is from RNAcentral.